GUGAUCUGGUUAGCUUGGCCUAGUUUCUUGCUGCUUUUUUGUUGACCUUGUAAGAGCAAUAGAUUUGAAACGGGUUCAUGGUUCACAGUUGGAACAUUAAACUGUUUCAAGGUGAGUUAGGAUUUAAACCAUAGUUUCCCACUCAGACAAUAAACAGAUAUGCAUGUCCAUGGCCAUGCUACUUGCUAUUCUGCUCAGGUUUACUUACGCUAAAUCUAAACUGCCCUGAUGAAUGUAUAGAGACUUCUAAUAGAAAUAUAGAGACUUGUAAUGGAAAUAUCCGUACAAAUUAAGCAUGAAUUAAAUUGAGUGUGUGUGUAAGCAACUGAAGAAACAGUAAAACAAGUGUUAAAAUAAUGGUUUGCAUUGACAACAAAGGACACUGUUCCCAGCAAUAAAAAUGAGAAGUGUGUUGUUCAUGUCAAGACCAGAAAGCCUGCACUCUGGUAAAAUCAUAGCACAGAUGAAUCAUCAGGGGGAGAUCCUACACUGACAGCAGGAGGAUGGUGUCAAGGUCAUAGCCCAUCACAGGCCGUUCCUUUUCUUGUUAGCUCACAAGCAAAACAGGCCAUAGCUACACAGUUUUGCAUAUAUUCCAAACAUAUAUUACAAGCAAAGAAAAAAAAAAAAAAAAAGGAUAUAAUCAGUAGUCUUGCCUAAGAUUCAUGGACAAUGAUGUGAGAUUCUGAAUCAAAGGACAACAUCAUAAUAACUGUUGGCUCCUAACAGGUAUAAAAGAUCAGUCCCAGACCAAUUCAGCAUCAUCAAACAAGAACUCUUGAAUGUGAUGAGCACACAACAGCUGGCACAUUCUCCAUGUAGCACAAGAGACCAUAGCCAGAACACUUGGGCACACCCAUUCUAGAGUUUGUGUGUGGUUCUGAGAGUGUCAGUGGAAAAAAUGAACUUACUUAGAGCUCCUGAUAAUAAGUACCUACUUCCCCUUCCGCAAGAAUGUCACCUGCCAUGAAGGACACCGUGGCACUUGCACCAUCCCCUUCCAUACAGGUCUGUGGCCUUGGUGGAGAAUUACAGAGGUCAGAGUCAGACACAAACAACCAAAGUAUUUAUGAAAACUGCCACACUGAGAGACACAGAGAGCCGCAGUUACAAAGAAGAAAGGAACAACAUAAGGUGCAAGAACAGAGCCUAAGGAAGUGCUGGAGAAGACAGUGGCCCAUUGGAGACCUCCAUGAAUAGCGUUCCUGAUGGACAAGCAUUACAGCGAGCAUCACUGGAGAACAGGAGGUACUGGAGUCUUUCACAGAUACAGCCACACCUAAAUAAAUUUAUUCAGAAUACAGAGGAACUGCCGUCU
RNAcentral lists this long non-coding RNA (1318 nucleotides) under Anas platyrhynchos platyrhynchos (common mallard). Its description in RNAcentral is "lncRNA (ENSAPLG00000029666.1)". The record is from RNAcentral. Lineage: Eukaryota; Metazoa; Chordata; Aves; Anseriformes; Anatidae.